RNAcentral lists this ribosomal RNA (496 nucleotides) under uncultured bacterium. RNAcentral describes it as "partial 16S ribosomal RNA". It matches the Rfam family "Bacterial small subunit ribosomal RNA", at positions 28 to 507 of the family's 1533-position model. The record is from RNAcentral.
GAUGAACGCUGGCGGCGUGCCUAAUACAUGCAAGUCGAGCGAACAGACGAGGAGCUUGCUCCUCUGACGUUAGCGGCGGACGGGUGAGUAACACGUGGAUAACCUACCUAUAAGACUGGGAUAACUUCGGGAAACCGGAGCUAAUACCGGAUAAUAUAUUGAACCGCAUGGUUCAAUAGUGAAAGACGGUUUUGCUGUCACUUAUAGAUGGAUCCGCGCCGCAUUAGCUAGUUGGUAAGGUAACGGCUUACCAAGGCAACGAUGCGUAGCCGACCUGAGAGGGGAUCCGCCCCCCUGGGACCGGGACCCGGGCCCAAACCCCAAGGGAGGGCGCCGGGGGGAAUUUUUCCGCAUGGGGGCAAGCCUUACCGGGCCAACCCCGGUGGAGGAAGAAGGUCUUUGGGAUGUAAAACCCUUUUUUUUGGGAAAAAAAAAAUGUUUAAGAAACUGGCCAGUUUUGAAGGGACCCUAAGAAGAAGCCCGGGGCAAACUAGGG